UACGUAGGGACCGAGCGUUGUCCGGAUUCAUUGGGCGUAAAGAGCUCGUAGGCGGCCACUCAAGUCGAAUGUGAAACCUCGAGGCUCAACCUCGAGCCUGCAUUCGAUACUGGGCGGCUAGAGUCUGGUAGGGGGAUCUGGAAUUCCUGGUGUAGCGGUGGAAUGCGCAGAUAUCAGGAGGAACACCGGUGGCGAAGGCGGGUCUCUGGGCCGAUACUGACGCUGAGGAGCGAAAGCGUGGGGAGCGAACAGG
RNAcentral lists this ribosomal RNA (253 nucleotides) under uncultured bacterium. Its description in RNAcentral is "partial 16S ribosomal RNA". It matches the Rfam family "Bacterial small subunit ribosomal RNA", at positions 524 to 776 of the family's 1533-position model. The record is from RNAcentral.